GCUGAGACGGGUGUAGUAGCCUGGG
Molecule: non-coding RNA, 25 nt
Filed under: Cricetulus griseus (Chinese hamster)
Lineage: Eukaryota; Metazoa; Chordata; Mammalia; Rodentia; Cricetidae
Source: RNAcentral